UACGUAGGGAGGAAGAGUCAAGAGGAAAGAAGGGGAGUAAAGCGUGCGCAGGCGGUUAUGCAAGACAGAUGUGAAAUCCCCGGGCUCAACCUGGGAACUGCAUUUGUGACUGCAUGGCUAGAGUACGGUAGAGGGGGAUGGAAUUCCGCGUGUAGCAGUGAAAUGCGUAGAUAUGCGGAGGAACACCGAUGGCGAAGGCAAUCCCCUGGACCUGUACUGACGCUCAUGCACGAAAGCGUGGGGAGCAAACAGG
This 253-nucleotide ribosomal RNA is filed under the name uncultured bacterium. RNAcentral's name for it is "partial 16S ribosomal RNA". It matches the Rfam family "Bacterial small subunit ribosomal RNA", at positions 524 to 776 of the family's 1533-position model. The record is from RNAcentral.